This 467-nucleotide ribosomal RNA is filed under the name uncultured bacterium. RNAcentral describes it as "partial 16S ribosomal RNA". It matches the Rfam family "Bacterial small subunit ribosomal RNA", at positions 28 to 507 of the family's 1533-position model. The record is from RNAcentral.
GACGAACGCUGGCGGCGUGCUUAACACAUGCAAGUCGAACGGAAAGGCCCUGCUUUUGUGGGGUGCUCGAGUGGCGAACGGGUGAGUAUCACGUGAGUAACCUGCCCUUGACUUUGGGAUAACUUCAGGAAACUGGGGCUAAUACCGGAUAGGAGCUCCUGCUGCAUGGUGGGGGUUGGAAAGUUUCGGCGGUUGGGGAUGGACUCGCGGCUUAUCAGCUUGUUGGUGGGGUAGUGGCUUACCAAGGCUUGACGGGUAGCCGGCCUGAGAGGGUGACCGGCCACAUUGGGACUGAGAUACGGCCCAGACUCCUACGGGAGGCAGCAGUGGGGAAUAUUGCACAAUGGGCGGAAGCCUGAUGCAGCAACGCCGCGUGCGGGAUGACGGCCUUCGGGUUGUAAACCGCUUUCGCCUGUGACGAAGCGUGAGUGACGGUAAUGGGUAAAGAAGCACCGGCUAACUACGUG